Homo sapiens (human) is the source of this 553-nucleotide long non-coding RNA. Ensembl annotates it as long intergenic non-protein coding RNA 1972. The record is from Ensembl. Lineage: Eukaryota; Metazoa; Chordata; Mammalia; Primates; Hominidae.
GGCAGACGCCCUGCUAUCCUCAUCUUAGGAUACCCAGUUCCCAACACAGUGCCUGCUGCAAAUUAUCAGUAAUAACAGGCCAUUAACUCCCCUGCUGGUCCCUAUCCAUGGAGCCCAUUGACAGAUGAGUUUGAUUCUGGACCUAAGAAGGACAGUUAACAGACACAGAUAUCUUUUAAGAAUCUUCCCUUCAGAGAAUACUAGAAAGUGUUCAGUAUGUUAAGCCCUUAGAAAUAAAUUCUGGCCGGGCGCGGUGGCUCACGCCUGUAAUCCCAGCACUUGGGGAGGCUGAGGUGGGUGGAUCACAAGGUCAGGAGAUCAAGACCAUCCUGGCCAACACGGUGAAACCCCAUCUCUACUGGGCGCCUGUAGUCCCAGCUACUCGGGAGGCUGAGGCAGGAGAAUGGCGUGAACCCGGGAGGGAACCCGGGAGGCGGAGCUUGCAACGAGCCGAGAUCGAGCUUGCAAUGAGCCAAGAUCGCGCCACUGCACUCCAGCCUGGGAUACAGAGCGAGACUCCGUCUCCAAAAAAAAUAAAAAUAAAAUUUAAAAG